UUAGAUACCCCACUAUGCUUAGCCUUAAACCUCAAUAAUUUGACAACAAAAUUAUUUGCCAGAGAACUACUAGCUACAGCCUAAAACUCAAAGGACUUGGCGGUACUUUAUAUCCACCUAGAGGAGCCUGU
RNAcentral lists this ribosomal RNA (131 nucleotides) under vertebrate environmental sample. Its description in RNAcentral is "partial 12S ribosomal RNA". The record is from RNAcentral. Lineage: Eukaryota; Metazoa; Chordata.